GGCACCAUGGCCUAAUGGUAAGGCGUUGCUUUCCGGUUUUCGGACCCCGAAAUCGUAUGGCAAAGACUAUGGGUUCGAGUCCCAUUGGUGUCG
Didymella exigua CBS 183.55 is the source of this 93-nucleotide non-coding RNA. The record is from the annotation of a RefSeq genome assembly. Lineage: Eukaryota; Fungi; Ascomycota; Dothideomycetes; Pleosporales; Didymellaceae.